Long non-coding RNA from Drosophila navojoa, 176 nucleotides. Lineage: Eukaryota; Metazoa; Arthropoda; Insecta; Diptera; Drosophilidae. The record is from RefSeq and is a predicted model, not a curated record.
AGAGAGAGAGAGAGAGAGAGAGAGAGAGAGAGACGCACACACGCAGCGGGCAUUGAACGCUUGAUAUAAGCAAAAUGAAACAACAACAACAACAACAGCAACAGCAUGAAAGGCAGCCAACGAAACGAAAAGCACACGCAAUUUGCCAACGCAGCUGACGACUGCGACGCUGCAGC